Molecule: ribosomal RNA, 380 nt
Filed under: Panulirus penicillatus
Lineage: Eukaryota; Metazoa; Arthropoda; Malacostraca; Decapoda; Palinuridae
Description: partial 12S ribosomal RNA
Source: RNAcentral
AGAUACCCUGUUACACUAGAAGGUAAAUAAACAUGUCGACUGGAGUAGUUAUAAUAAAUUUGUUUAAAAUUCAAAGAACCUGGCGGUACUUUAGUCUAGUUAGAGGAACCUGUUGUAUAAACGAUAAACCACGUAAGAUCUUUCUCACUCUCGUAAAGCCAGUAUACCUUCAUUGUUAGAUAAUCUUUUCUUACAUGGAUUAUUGGAAUUGGGUUACCAAGUAUAUUAGAUCAAGGUGCUGCUGAUGAGUGAGUACAAAUGGGUUACAGUAUUUUUUGGAGAGGCGGAUAAUAUCAAGAAUUUGAUAUUUGAAGAUGGAUUUAAUUGUAAGUUUUGGUUUUAGUAAGGCAAAAUGAUAGUAGCUCUAAAGUGUGUACAUA